CUCUCUCUCUCUCUCUCAUCUCUACCCACUUACAAAUCACUACCCUCUCUCUCAUCAAUUCAACCGAGCCAGGAGGAAGAACUCGACGACUCUCUGCUUCCAGAUCUGCCUCCGGGGAAAUCACUACAAAAGGUUGGCAAAAUAUUAACCCUUAAACCCCAGUUCUAAGUGAUUUUCUCGUGUAGCUCCAGAAAUAUAAUUUUAAGUAUAUAUGUUUGUAAGUUUUGUGAAAAAAAAAAGUUGUGGACAGUGACCGCUUCUUGUAAUUGUUUAAAUUUCUGAAUACAUGCUAAGAUCAGUUUUUUCGUUCACGAGGUAGCUGAUAAAUAAUUUUUCAUCAGAUUAGUGGUUAUUGUAAUUCGCCUUUUAUUUCAAUUAGCUUUUCGGGUCGAUUUUUUUCUCCUGCACAAUGUUCUUAAUUACUUUAAAUUUAGUAAGAAAUGGUAAGUCAGAAGAUAUCUGCUCCGCUGCUUGAACGACCCUAACAAACCUGUCGACCAGAAAUUCUAAGUAGGCGGUAUUCAAAACUUUCAUAUCCUGUUUCUCCAUAUUCGCUCACAAAAAGAAAACCAUAGGGGAGAGAGUAAAUAAAGGGGUGGGGAGAGGAGUAUAUAACCUUAGUGUAGGGCGAGAAUUAUGAGGCGUUUAUCUGAUUGUAUAUGGUUAGUUGAGAAAUGACGUUAGUUAGUAACAGUUGGCAGGCCUGAACAGAUUGACACACCUGGUAUACGGUAGUCUCUGAAGUGUUGGUGACCACCGUUUAAUGAGUUAGUUUUUUUUUCCUUUUUCUCACAUGGUUUCCUAUUGCAAAGUGAAAACACUGCGCAAAACAAAAGGUAAUACUCAAAUCUUCUCACUUUUUAUGGUAAGUGUCAUGACUAUUAUAAGAGCGAGGUUCAGGGUUAUAGCAUUGAAUUAAUUGAUGGUAAUCUACA
This 935-nucleotide long non-coding RNA is filed under the name Olea europaea (common olive). Its description in RNAcentral is "long non-coding RNA (OEUR_LNC006033)". The record is from RNAcentral. Lineage: Eukaryota; Viridiplantae; Streptophyta; Magnoliopsida; Lamiales; Oleaceae.